GAAGUCGUUACUUUAACCCUUGUGGAGAAGGACGCCGAAGGUGGGGCUGAUGACUGGGGUGAAGUCGUAACAAGGUAGCCGUACCGGAAGGUGCGGCUGGAUCACCUCCUAACAGGGAGACAAUAAAUUGAUUGUGAUGUCUAAGUUUUUUAUUCUUAGGCCGCAAUCCUGUCACCUUAAGGUCGAUCGGUACCUCAGAUUUUUGAAUUAGUUUUAUAAUUGAUUCUCUUAUUUCAGUUCCUAAACUUGUCUAGGUCACACCCAACAAAGGUUUCUCCUGGGCCAUUAGCUCAUGUGGUUAGAGCGCACCCCUGAUAAGGGUGAGGUCCCUGGUUCAAGUCCAGGAUGGCCCAUAUCUCUAUGUUGGGGGUAUAGCUCAGUUGGUAGAGCGCCUGCUUUGCAAGCAGGAUGUCAGCGGUUCGAGUCCGCUUACCUCCACUGAAUACCACCUCUUACAUAUAUUUAAAGAGGGAAAUUGUUUUGAGUCGUGUCCUAAUUUGCUCUGAGCGAAUCUAGCUUCCUAUUUUAUUCUAUAAAUAAGAUGCUGGACUCAUUGAAUUUUUUUUCAUUGUUUUCAGAGAACCUUGACAACUGCAUAGAUUAUUUUUGAAGACAAUAGGCAUCUUUAAUGAUGCAGAUUUAUUAUUUGUGCGAAUGCAUUAGAUAACAAUUCUAUUAAGCUGAUGCUUCAAUUAUUGAAGUUAUUGGUCAAGCUACAAAAGGCUCACGGAGGAUACCUAGGCACACAGAGGCGAUGAA
Molecule: unclassified non-coding RNA, 759 nt
Filed under: uncultured cyanobacterium
Lineage: Bacteria; Bacillati; Cyanobacteriota
Description: partial contains 16S ribosomal RNA, 16S-23S ribosomal RNA intergenic spacer, and 23S ribosomal RNA
Rfam family: Bacterial small subunit ribosomal RNA (bases 1-112)
Source: RNAcentral